This 1437-nucleotide ribosomal RNA is filed under the name Triticum aestivum (bread wheat). Its description in RNAcentral is "partial small subunit ribosomal RNA". The record is from RNAcentral. Lineage: Eukaryota; Viridiplantae; Streptophyta; Magnoliopsida; Poales; Poaceae.
AUGGCUGAACAUGGAAAUAUGGGUUCAGGGGGAACACAGAGGAGGCAAGUAAAUUGUGAGAAUCUGUUGACUUGUGCAUGCUAUAAGGUGCAGCUGCUGGAAGGUACUAAUUGUUGGGAAACUCAUGCUAUUAUAAGGGAGGCAUGGAACACAUACCACUCCAGUGCCAAGUGCUAUACUGCGCACCUGAAUGCAAGGAACCACAAUUGGAUAUCCGCUACAGCAUUAGCAGUUUGCGGAGUGCGUAAACAAGUGCUACAGAUUGUGCCAGAAUUCUGGGAUCCCAUACCCAAAUUUACAUUGGAGAACAUUGCUUCAAAUAAAUCGGUGGUGGAAACGAAAAGUUAUGUGACAGUAUGGGGUCGGGAAGGCUGCAGGUGUGUAAUUUGGAUGCCGCUCGGCAAUGAAGACGCGUCGACUUCGACUGUAAUUCUGGGGAGCAAUUGUUUCACUUGGUUUGCAAGUUCCUAUUCGAUGAAACACCCAGUACAUGAAUUGAGUUAUCAGAUGUCCAGUGUGGCAACUAUCAAAUGGGUGGCUCAAUUCGGGGCCCUUAUCUUGGGCAAGUUACCCUGGAUCUCCUGUUGCUUGCCAUUGGUCCGACCAAAACACCCAUGGCCAUUCCCUGCUUCAGCCAUUGCCAGUAUUCAGGCCCUAUUUCACAUGAAGACUUUUACUGCAUCUAUGACUACACUGAAUAUUUAUUCAUGGAUGUUUCAAGAUUGGAUUGCUCCAUUGCAUGGCAGUAAGUCAACUAAUUAUAGUCACUUUGAGCAGUUCUGGGAUCCUGGCACCGGCAACAACACUUUGUCACUUUGGCUUUCUAACUCAUUGGAAGAGAUUGCUCACUGUUGGGGAAUGUUGAGUGGUGGCCUAAAUUCAGUGGAUCCCAUGGAGUUGUCUUAUGAUUACAAGCAAGUUCCUUUUCAAGGAGGAAGGGGUGUCAUCAUUGUCGUUGUCGUCUUGACUCAAGGCUCCGUCGACCACGAAUACUACUCCUGCUCCGACCACGACAGCGCUGACAUCGUCUACGCCCUCGGCGCCUUCUUCGAUUGGGUCUCCACGGGCCACGACUUCUAUGCCCAACUCGCUGAAGUCUACCCCAACUUCGGCUACCACCACAACUCCGACCAAGUCGAGGAGCAUCAGUUGCAAUGGGAUCCGGGCAGCUCUCAGAAGCAUCGGCUUGGGGUCAAGCCGAGUCUCAAGGAGGGAGGGAUGUUAGGAGCCCCUGUAGCCCAUACGUGUACCUGGGCUUCACAUGGGCCAGGCCCGGCUGUGCACCACCGAUGUUGGCUACAAAUACACGAAGGGAGAGCAGCAACCGAACCAUCUAGGUUGGAUCAGGCAAACGGCACGACGGCUCCUUCUCCUACCUCUGGCUCUCUCCUCUGUUCCUCUUUCUGCUGCACUGUAACUCCAUUAGCCACCUCGUAG